This 275-nucleotide ribosomal RNA is filed under the name uncultured bacterium. Its description in RNAcentral is "partial 16S ribosomal RNA". It matches the Rfam family "Bacterial small subunit ribosomal RNA", at positions 399 to 691 of the family's 1533-position model. The record is from RNAcentral.
GCGUGCGUGAAGAAGGCCUCAGGGUUGUAAAGCGCUUUCGGCGGGGAAGAUGAUGACGGUACCCGCACAAGAAGCCCCGGCUAACUCCGUGCCAGCAGCCGCGGUGAUACGGAGGGGGCAAGCGUUGUUCGGAAUUACUGGGCGUAAAGGGCGCGUAGGCGGGCGACUAAGUCAGAGGUGAAAGGCCUGGGCUCAACCUGGGAACUGCCUUUGAAACUAGUUGUCUUGAGUCCGGAAGAGGAUGGCGGAAUUCCCAGUGUAGAGGUGAAAUUCGU